UGGGGAAUCUUGCACAAUGGAGGAAACUCUGAUGCAGCGACGCCGCGUGAGCGAAGAAGCCUUUCGGGGUGUAAAGCUCUUACGCCAGGGACGAUAAUGACGGUACCUGGAGAAGCAGCUGCGGCUAACUACGAGCCAGCAGCCGCGGUAAUACGUAGGCAGCAAGCGUUGUUCGGAAUUACUGGGCGUAAAGGGUGCGUAGGCGGCGCUCUAAGUUUGGUGUGAAAUCUCCCGGCUUAACUGGGAGGGUGCACUGAAAACUGGGGCGCUCGAGUAUGGGAGAGGAAAGCGGAAUUCCUGGUGUAGCGGUGAAAUGCGUAGAGAUCAGGAGGAACACCUGCGGUGCAGACGGCUUUCUGGACCAUCACUGACGCUGAGGCACGAAAGCGUGGGUAGCAAACA
Molecule: ribosomal RNA, 402 nt
Filed under: uncultured bacterium
Lineage: Bacteria
Description: bacterial SSU rRNA
Rfam family: Bacterial small subunit ribosomal RNA
Source: RNAcentral